UCUCUUACUAAGAUUUUAAUGUUUGAUGUGUCUACAAAAUUAUAGAUAAAUAAUAUUUAAAUCAAAUUUGAGAUAAUUUUUUUUAUUUGAGAUUUAAUAUGAUUGCAAAAUUAUAGGGGACUUAAUGUAAUUAUUGAACAUUAACAAGUCUUAAAUAUUACAAUGUUUAUUUGCUUGGUGCUUUGGCCUUUAUGGCAUAUCUUUGUCAUUUGUUU
Molecule: long non-coding RNA, 215 nt
Filed under: Gossypium barbadense (sea-island cotton)
Lineage: Eukaryota; Viridiplantae; Streptophyta; Magnoliopsida; Malvales; Malvaceae
Description: long non-coding RNA (GBAR_LNC003449)
Source: RNAcentral